AUGGCGGGAAAAGCCGAGCGAGCGGGAGACGGUCGGGCGGUUUCUAACGUUAUUUAUUUCGAUUAAAACCGAACCCGGAGGCGCUUUUGGGACUUGCCGCCUCCUCGGGGGAACUCUCCGGAGAGACUUUCACCUCAGCAUUUCCAGCUCGGGGUCCCGCCGAGUUAGAUAACAUUAUAUUUUUAAUUUCAGCCUGCCUUCUGUCAACAGACAUCCUUGAUCACCCAUGAAGCGCAAAAAGAGGUCUGGAAACCCAAAGAUAGAGGAAUGCGACAUUUGGUUGGACACAAGGGAGCUAAAGAGGAAGAAAGUGGAGGAAGACGUUACAGCCAGAACACAGGAAAUAUUCCUGUUUAGUCAGCUCAAAGUUGAAGCUUCUCCAUUCCAGUCAUAGCAAACUACAUUGCGGAAGAACACUAUUUGGUUAUCCGUGCUUGAGCAGUCUCUUUCGAGAAAUCAGAAACAGAAAUUGCUGGAGAAACUCAACAGUCCCAUUCCAUUUCAAAGCUGCUGAAGCCACUGUCCAGAAGGAAUCACACUGCCGAGGUUGCUGUAAAUUUCACUCAGGCAAGGGCUCCUCAGCAGUGCAUAAAACAGACAACAGUCUCUUCCUUCUUCUUUCCAAAGGCUCAAGGUAAACUUGCAGACCCCACACGCACAUCAAUCCUGAGUGCUGUGGGUGCUGCCUCCUCAAAUUCUGUCACUGAAAAGGAAACAUACACAGAUCAGCCUGAGCUGAUCACUGACAAUGAUUUCUGCAGAGACAACUUUGGCUGCUCCACUCCUGUGAGCCACGAGGAGAGGUUACCAUCAAUCUUAAGAGCUGUCCACUGCAACUCAGAGGAGAGAGUGCCUCUUUGUGGAACUACACAUGGCAACACUGCCCACAUUCCAAAUAAGCAGGCUCACCAGCUGUUCAAGGAAAGAGAACAUUCCUGUCUUAAGGGUGGUGCCAACAUCAAUAUUGUAGAGUAUGAGUUACCAUCUGCACAUGGUGCUGCAGGAGUAACAUGUGCAUCUGUUGCCACUCCGAGUGAGCCUCCUAAUGAUUUUACUCAGCUGGAUUUCACUCAAGACUCGCAAGGAAAUAGAGUUAUCUCGCACAGGAAGGUAACCAGAUCACCAGUCAUGAAUUACACAUCAUAUAAGGGCAUGCCUGUUCCCAACGGGAAGUCCACUGACUUUCCAGCCGCUGCGUCAGAAAUCCUGAGCAUGCAGAGUUUCGAAACAGGGUUACUUGGCAAGCUUACCUCCACACAACAAAAUGUGAACAGACAAAAGAAGUUAUCGAAAAGGCAAGAAGUGGCACACUUGCCUAAGAAAUUAAAUUCAGAUUGUUUCAGAGAUGUAUUUCCAGAGAACAAAGAAAAUGUCUUUGGGCCCAUGUUGAACUUUAAUCUAGCAUCUUUGGAAAGACCUUCGCUAUCACCAGGAACCAAAUCAUUUCUGCACCAUUGGAAUGUACCCCAAGGUACUGAGGCUUUCCAACAGCCCAAAACAGCAUGCAGUGAUCAGAGUGUGCUGUCACUCCUGUUCAGCCAAGACUCCCAGGGAAACAGAGUUAUCUCUCACCGGCGCACAGACAGCAGGCACGGAGCAGUUGUUUCCAACAAUCAGAACCUUCCAUUGGGCGUCAGUGGGGGCAUAUGCUAUAAUGUUCCUCUGAAAGAGAGACUGCAUCAUUCAGGCCUCUGGUGUGAAUCAUCCAGCAUAGCACAGUUGAAAUAUGAUGAUCCACAAGCAGAUUUGCUGUUUACACAAGAUUCUGAAGGCUAUGCAGUGAUCAAACAUUGUUAAAGAUGGGUGUAUUGAUUGCUAUUUUAUCUCUUUGAUUGUCUGCUUUCUCCCUCGUGUUCUGUAGGCAAGUUAAAGAUGUUAU
Hemiscyllium ocellatum (epaulette shark) is the source of this 1879-nucleotide RNA transcript. RefSeq lists it as uncharacterized. The transcript has 5 exons. NCBI's taxonomy places the organism in Eukaryota, Metazoa, Chordata, Chondrichthyes, Orectolobiformes, Hemiscylliidae. The record is from RefSeq and is a predicted model, not a curated record.